UUUUUUGAACGCAAGUUUGCGCCCGAUGCCAUUAGGUUGAGGGCACGUCUGCCUGGGUGUCACAUAUCGAAACCCCCUGCCAAUUUCCCUUUGAUUAUUGUGCAGGGUGGAUGUUGGCCUCCCGUGAGCUCUUUUGUCUCAUGGUUGGUUGAAAAUUGAGACCUUGGUAGGGUGUGCCAUGAUAGAUGGUGGUUGUGUGACCCACGAGACCAAUCAUGCGCUGCUCUAUUGAAUUUUGGCCUCUUUUACCCAUAUGCGUUUCUAAACGCUCGUGAUGAGACCUCAGGUCAGGCGGGGCUACCCGCUGAAUUUAAGCAUAUCAAUAAGCGGAGGAAAAGAAACUAACAAGGAUUCCCUUAGUAACGGCGAGCGAACCGGGAUAAGCCCACCAUGAGAAUCGGUCGCCCUCCGGCGUUCGAAUUGUAUCGAAAAAAAAACGCUUAAAAUUA
This 449-nucleotide ribosomal RNA is filed under the name Vicia peregrina. RNAcentral describes it as "eukaryotic LSU rRNA". The stretch from base 278 to 449 matches the Rfam family "Eukaryotic large subunit ribosomal RNA", at positions 1 to 171 of the family's 3401-position model. Lineage: Eukaryota; Viridiplantae; Streptophyta; Magnoliopsida; Fabales; Fabaceae. The record is from RNAcentral.